CAAAAAAAAAUUGCAAUGGCCACCGCAGUUAGCGUCGGCGCAAAAAUGCCGUCGCCAUUGGUCAUAAAUUUGCUACGGGAAACAAGGCGUCGCAAAAUUAAAAUUGGUUUGCGACGGCAAAUUAACGCCGUGGCAUAAAAACUGAUACAAUUGCGACGGCAUCUUUAAUGCCGUAGUUAAAUUUGUCCCGAUUCUUGCUACGCUAUAGUUGCCGUAGCUUUUUUUAGUUUUCUUCAGGUGCAUUAGUUGCCUUUUGUUAUUUUUAUUUUUCAUUUUUAUUAAGGAAAUGGUUCCCAUCGGUGUGACGCUCACUCUCUAAACCCCUUCUCUCUCUCAUCUUCUCCUUUCUCCGGAUACGAUCGAUGACUUCGAGAGGGGCGUAGAGCGGAGCCCUCUCUCUCCCGCCGCCCAAAAAUCUCUGUCGUUGAUUCAAUUCCGAUCUAUACUUGCAAAUGGCUCAGAUCGACCUCCAUCUUUACCUCCUUGGCGGCUCUCUCACAUACCAAAGGAAGCCAUGGCCACAGUGCAUGUCGUAUCCUGCCCUCCCCGGCUUGGCAGCGAAUCGAAUUAGGUCGAGUGUAUUCUCGCAUAGAUUCACAUGAAAAACCCAGUCCAGACUAUAUGCUGCAACAAUGGCUGUAGGGGAGCCCAGAGCACCAAAGUAAUAAAUUCACAUCUCCAUGUUUGGGCUU
This is a long non-coding RNA of Rosa chinensis, 692 nucleotides long. RefSeq lists it as uncharacterized. Lineage: Eukaryota; Viridiplantae; Streptophyta; Magnoliopsida; Rosales; Rosaceae. The transcript is spliced from 3 exons. The record is from RefSeq and is a predicted model, not a curated record.